RNAcentral lists this long non-coding RNA (210 nucleotides) under Panax ginseng (ginseng). Its description in RNAcentral is "long non-coding RNA (PGIN_LNC002795)". Lineage: Eukaryota; Viridiplantae; Streptophyta; Magnoliopsida; Apiales; Araliaceae. The record is from RNAcentral.
GAACUUUACUGUCACGAAAUUCCAUCAAAACAGAGAAGCCAGAAACCAAAAUCAAAGAGAAAAUGAGAGGUAGGUAAGGGGAUAUGGAGAAAACCCAUAUCAGAAAACAAACCCAAAAACAUAAAAAGAUAGGACGAAGCAACAAAACGAAACUAAAAAAAACAAGCAUGAACAAGCACGGAUCUGCUCAAAACACAAAUCAAAGGCAGG